UACGGAGGGUGCAAGCGUUGUUCGGAAUUACUGGGCGUAAAGGGGGUGCAGACGGCCGAAUAAGUCAGAUGUGAAAUCCCUCGGCUUAACUGAGGAAGUGCAUCUGAAACUGUUCGGCUUGAGUAUGGGAGAGGAAGGCGGAAUUCCCGGUGUAGCGGUGACAUGCGUAGAUAUCGGGAGGAACACCAGUGGCGAAGGCGGCCUUCUGGCCCAAUACUGACGCUGAGACCCGAAAGCGUGGGGAGCAAACAGG
This 253-nucleotide ribosomal RNA is filed under the name uncultured bacterium. Its description in RNAcentral is "partial 16S ribosomal RNA". It matches the Rfam family "Bacterial small subunit ribosomal RNA", at positions 524 to 776 of the family's 1533-position model. The record is from RNAcentral.